Molecule: long non-coding RNA, 540 nt
Organism: Peromyscus eremicus (cactus mouse)
Lineage: Eukaryota; Metazoa; Chordata; Mammalia; Rodentia; Cricetidae
Exons: 3
Source: RefSeq, a predicted model, not a curated record
AUGCAGUCUUGGCCUGAGGGCAGUUCAGUGUCUGCUAUGAAGGAGCAUGGGUAGAUACACAAGAACAGAAAACAUCUGUUGACUACUUGAUCUUCAGUAUUCAACAGUAUGGCUGAAAAGUGCUUGCCUGAAUAUAUAGAUAUACACACUACAUGUGUUUCUGGUUCCAACAACAGAAGAGGACAUUGGAUCACCCAAAACUGGAGUUAUAGAUAGCUGUGAGCGGCCACAUGAGUGGAAACAAAACCUAGGUCUGAAAGACCAGGCUCUUAACUGCUGAGCCAUCUCUCCGGUCUCUACAAUGCAGGUUCAGUCAACUCAUUUCUUUUCUCCAAACCCCAGACUAUAUCUCUGGUUCUAACAGGCUACCCCAUCUGUGUCUCUCUACGCAUUUGCUCACACUGUUCUCUGAGCAUUAUCACAUUAUCAUUCUUUCUAGGCUGGUGACAGCAAAAGCUGAACAUUGAUUUUGAGUUCUCACUCUAGCAAAGCUCUUCUGCCUUGGCAAUUUUUAUCCUGAGCGAGGGAUCUAACAGUCAU